GCCUUCCAUAUAGCUUUCUACACACAGGAUAUAGUUAGUCGAUAUUCACUGUAAUCUAAAUUAAAAUACCAUUUGGUUUUAUAUGAAACAAAACAGUAUCAAAGACACGUGUUUUUAAAUCUGUAAUUUAUAGCCACCUGUUAAAACAUAGCAAUUUACGAACUUCUUGAAAUUUACAUCAAAUUGGGCAAGGUUAAUGUUCCAGUAAAAAGAACGACUGGGAACUUCCCAGACUGUUUGGAUAGUGGGAGUAAUGAGGCAAGCACAGGGGAGGAACUAGGGCAUCACGUCACAGAGGACAGAUAAAAGCUGUAUUAGAAGCCUAAAGCAAGUGUUCCAGCAGGAAGAAAGUAUAUAUUACCGUCAAACCAAAGUGAUUCUUCAGUUCAGCAAAGGAACAACUUGUGCUUAUCUACUUCUUACCGGGCUACACUUGUCCCUGAUCGAAUAUUUAUUACAAAAAAGCUACGUGAAAGAAACACUCUCCCUUGGACUCACAGUUAAACAUUAUCUCCAAAAAUGAACGAAGUCCUGAAAAUCUAUCUGUUCGGAACCAUAGUGUCACUGGCAGCUGCAUUCUUGGGACUGCUGGAUUCCUUACGCAGUUUGAUGCCUCUUCAGAAACUUGAACUCCAGGAGCCCGACUGUGCAUUGACUGGAUACCAGCACUAUCUCUGCACAGCAACUCUGCUGCAACAGGGGUCCCUCAGAACCAAUAAAGCUGUGGGGUCAUAAACAAGUACAUUGAUAUUUGUAACCUUAACCGUGUGCUGUUUACAUUUUUUAUUUUAUUUCUUUGUUGAAUUAAGUACAUUUUAAUAGAAAAGGAAACAAAUCAUUAUUGGUACACAUAUCUGGACCAUUGUAUAUGAACAAAGAAACAACACUGGUAUAAGCUGAAAAAUGUUAUUUGAAUAACUCUUGUUAUAAAAAGUGUUUUAGAUGUAAAAAGUACUUUUAUUGUUACAGUGAACCCUAAAGAGAAAAAUGCACUAGCACUAACGAAAACAAUAUGCUGCUGUGUUCAUAAUCCAGAGGGAUGCAUAUCUCCUGACAGCAUAUGUAUAGUACAGUGGAGGUGCCUGUACAUCAUAAAUAAAUAUUUGGUCAUUUCUUGAGACCAGUGAAUCCAAUUUGAUUAAACCUUGUACUAGACAUUCCUUAGUCUUAAUGUCAACUGUAUGAAACUAACAUCUGCUUGUCUGAGCUAACUGAAAGGGUAUAGCUUGGGAAUAGAUUGGUGCUAGCUCAUAUACUUUAAGAUGAGACUUGGUUGCCUGUUUCAUGCUUAUGGAUUUAGGGCAUGGUGACCACUUUUUCAAUGUUUUUUACAUUAUAACCUUACAUACAGUACCUUUCCUUGUACAAGUACCACAAUACCAAGGCAAUAUUAAGCUUUCUGUCAAUAGUUGGAACGUAUGGAGGCUCUAUGUAGAAAUAGGAUUGUGUUGAUUUUAAUAUGCACUAUAUUAAAAAUACAAGUAAUUUAAGCCACUGUUAAUAUGUGUUUAUUUAAUGUGCUGUUACUUUUCAAAAAUAUUACAUUUUUGUUAAUGUCCCUUUUAUUGUAUGACAUCGAAGAAACCUCUUAUCAAUUUCAUUAUUGUAACAUUAAAAUCAAUUUUUAACUUUC
Polyodon spathula (Mississippi paddlefish) is the source of this 1633-nucleotide long non-coding RNA. RefSeq lists it as uncharacterized. NCBI's taxonomy places the organism in Eukaryota, Metazoa, Chordata, Actinopteri, Acipenseriformes, Polyodontidae. The record is from RefSeq and is a predicted model, not a curated record. The transcript has 2 exons.